AACAAACGCUGGCGGCGUGCCUAAUACAUGCAAGUCGAACGGGGAAAGCCUUCGGGUGAGUACUAGUGGCGCACGGGUGAGUAACGCGUGGAUAAUCUGCCCUCGAAUGGGGAAUAACUAGUCGAAAGAUUAGCUAAUACCGCAUAAGACCACGACUACUGAGGUAGUUGGGGUCAAAGGAGCAAUUCGUUUGAGGAUGAGUCCGCGUAAGAUUAGCUAGUUGGUGAGGUAAUGGCUCACCAAGGCGAUGAUCUUUAACUGGUCUGAGAGGAUGAUCAGUCACACUGGAACGGAGACACGGUCCAGACUCCUACGGGAGGCAGCAGUAGGGAAUAUUGGACAAUGGGGGCAACCCUGAUCCAGCGACGCCGCGUGAGCGAUGAAGGCCUUCGGGUCGUAAAGCUCUGUUGUAAGGGAAAAAGUUCUGAUUGUACCUUACGAGAAAGGAUCGGCUAACUUCGUGCCAGCCGCCGCAGUAA
RNAcentral lists this ribosomal RNA (479 nucleotides) under uncultured bacterium. RNAcentral's name for it is "partial 16S ribosomal RNA". It matches the Rfam family "Bacterial small subunit ribosomal RNA", at positions 29 to 523 of the family's 1533-position model. The record is from RNAcentral.